This 26-nucleotide transfer RNA is filed under the name Prinia subflava (tawny-flanked prinia). Its description in RNAcentral is "partial tRNA-Trp". Lineage: Eukaryota; Metazoa; Chordata; Aves; Passeriformes; Cisticolidae. The record is from RNAcentral.
GAAGCUUAGGAUUACUUAAACCGAAG